AAUUCUAAAUACUUGAUAAUAUGCCUGUUAUGGAUAAGUCCAUGAGUUGCAUAUCUUUGUUUCAAAGUUUAAGGAUUUGAAAGUGGUAGUUCCUAAAUCAUUGCAAUUAGGAGGAAUAAUAGCACAUCAUACUUAUAGUUUGAAUUAUUAUAGGAAGAAAUUACUGUAUGUCACAUAAAACUUUUCUUUUAAACAGAUUCAGAAACACUUACAUGUGAAAAGUUUUUUAUGUGAUAAUUUGUUUUUAUGUGAUAAGUCUUUAUGUUAAUGACAUUCUUAUAUUAGAAGAAAUAUAAUGUUAUAUUAUGAUGCUAAAGCUCA
Molecule: unclassified non-coding RNA, 321 nt
Filed under: Hevea brasiliensis (rubber tree)
Lineage: Eukaryota; Viridiplantae; Streptophyta; Magnoliopsida; Malpighiales; Euphorbiaceae
Source: RNAcentral